UACGGAGGGUGCAAGCGUUAAUCGGAAUUACUGGGCGUAAAGCGCACGCAGGCGGUCUGUCAAGUCGGAUGUGAAAUCCCCGGGCUCAACCUGGGAACUGCAUUCGAAACUGGCAGGCUGGAGUCUUGUAGAGGGGGGUAGAAUUCCAGGUGUAGCGGUGAAAUGCGUAGAGAUCUGGAGGAAUACCGGUGGCGAAGGCGGCCCCCUGGACAAAGACUGACGCUCAGGUGCGAAAGCGUGGGGAGCAAACAGGAUUAGAUACCCUGGUAGUCCACGCUGUAAACGAUGUCGACUUGGAGGUUGUUCCCUUGAGGAGUGGCUUCCGGAGCUAACGCGUUAAGUCGACCGCCUGGGGAGUACGCCGGCAACGGUGAA
RNAcentral lists this ribosomal RNA (375 nucleotides) under uncultured bacterium. Its description in RNAcentral is "bacterial SSU rRNA". It matches the Rfam family "Bacterial small subunit ribosomal RNA", at positions 524 to 898 of the family's 1533-position model. The record is from RNAcentral.